CAAGAAGUGAAUGAACCGGGGGCCGUGGCUCACAUGAAGUCAGCAGUUCGAGAGCAGCCUGACCAAUAUGAGAAGGGAGAAGACAGAGGAGAAUGCCAGAUGAAGACAGAAACAGAGAUUGAAGUUAUGUGGCCAUAAUUCAAGGAUUGCUGGCAACACCAGAAGCCAAGAGAAAGAUGAGGAAGAAUUCUCCCCUAGACCUUUCAGAAGGAGCGUGGCCCAGCCAACACCCUGACUUCAGACUUCUGGCCUCCAGAACUGUGAGAAUAAAUUCUUACUGUUGUAAUCCACCUGAUAUG
RNAcentral lists this long non-coding RNA (299 nucleotides) under Homo sapiens (human). Its description in RNAcentral is "non-protein coding lnc-NDUFV3-2:7". Lineage: Eukaryota; Metazoa; Chordata; Mammalia; Primates; Hominidae. The record is from RNAcentral.